This 366-nucleotide ribosomal RNA is filed under the name uncultured bacterium. Its description in RNAcentral is "partial 16S ribosomal RNA". It matches the Rfam family "Bacterial small subunit ribosomal RNA", at positions 338 to 701 of the family's 1533-position model. The record is from RNAcentral.
CCUACGGGAGGCAGCAGUGAGGAAUAUUGGUCAAUGGACGAGAGUCUGAACCAGCCAAGUAGCGUGAAGGAUGACUGCCCUAUGGGUUGUAAACUUCUUUUAUAUGGGAAUAAAAUGUUCCACGUGUGGGAUUUUGUAUGUACCAUAUGAAUAAGGAUCGGCUAACUCCGUGCCAGCAGCCGCGGUAAUACGGAGGAGCCGAGCGUUAUCCGGAUUUAUGGGGUUUCAAGGGAGCGUAGGUGGAUUGUUAAGUCAGUUGUGCAAGUUUGCGGCUCAACCGUAAAAUUGCAGUUGAAACUGGCAGUCUUUAGUACAGUCGAGGUGGGCGGUAUUCGUGUUGUAGCGGUGACAUGCUUAGAUCUCACG